AGUUUAAUCUAUUGGGGAUAUACAUUAUUCUUAAGUCAUACUAUUGUGAGUUUUUUAAAUAAAAUUACAAUAUAAAGUAUGUCUAGAAUCUCAAAAGACACUCAGGCAAAAGUUAACACCAGGAUUUAAACAAAUUCUUUAAUAAACCAACUACAAACAGAGAACUUAAAAUAGACUGCUAUUUAUUUUUAUUCAGUUCUGAUCCCAAAAGUCACACUUUGCUACUGAUGGUCCUGUUGUAAAAUGAAGCAUGGGUCAUCAGGAAACUUAGGAAUCUAGAGGGGGGGAUAAAGUGCAGAACCAGGAAGAGGUAGGAGAUGACAACUUAGACAGACAUUGUAACAACAAAUCCUAUCUAAAUAUAGCCAAUUAAUCUGAUUAAGAACUAGGUAUCAGAGUUCCAUCAGAAAAACAAACACAGAAAAAGUGAUCUGAAUACUGAUACACAAUAUUAUAGGAGUUAGACCACAAGCCAUUGCGAGCUGGUAGAUCAAUCUAUGCAGGUUACUGUCUGUUGCUCUGGCUAUAAGUCAGCCAGACUAGCAGCUAGGAAAUAAACUGGAAAAGCUAAGACCUGCAGGAACAAAUCAGAAUCCAUCAGGAACAUACAAGGACAAAGCAGAAUUUAUGGCUUCUAUCACCAGCUACAACCCCAAUGCCAUGAUGGCUACAGGAGAGCAAGGCUUCCUUUAACAGCUUCUUUCCUCUUUCAGAGUUUUGAAAGCUUACAUUUAAAGAAGUUUCCAAGAGAGGACUGGACAAAGGCUUAAGACAAAGCAAGUCUAUUCUACAAAACAGAUAAAUAAAAAAUAAGAAACAAAUAUCAAACAAAUAAGUUGCUUUUAAGCACUGUCCCCUCUCCAUGCCCUGUAAAUAAUUAAUCAUAAAAUAUAUAAAAUGAAAGCUAUCUGCAUUAUUCCAAAGGUCUAUUAGCAAUUUUUUUUAGUGAUUUUUCCAACUAUAUUGUGUCGACACCAAUAGUUUUAAUAACAGAAAGAUGACACUAGGAGAUUUUAGGAUAAAAUAAUUAUAAUAUAGCUCUUAGAAGAACAGUUUUUAUAAUUAGAUAGCUUGAAAUCAAAUAUGGAUUCUGCCUCUUUCUAGCUAGAGGAUGAUCAGAUAAGCUACUUAACCUUCUGAAGCUCUAGUCUGGUUUCCAUUUGUAAACUGGUGUUAUUAAUGGUACCUUUUUUUUACAGGGAUCUGUGUAAUUAUUAGGUGAGAUAAUGUUCAUAAAGAUCUUGGAAGAGAAUCCACCAAAUAAUUUGCUCUAAAAUAAGUAUUGCUUAUGAUACAGCUCAUUAUUUUCUGAUAAUUUCAUUUUAUAAAG
Molecule: long non-coding RNA, 1330 nt
Filed under: Capra hircus (goat)
Lineage: Eukaryota; Metazoa; Chordata; Mammalia; Artiodactyla; Bovidae
Description: lncRNA (ENSCHIG00010023987.1)
Source: RNAcentral